AUACGUAGGUGGCAAGCGUUAUCCGGAUUUACUGGGUGUAAAGGGCGCGUAGGCGGGGGUGCAAGUCAGAUGUGAAAUCUAUGGGCUUAACUCAUAAACUGCAUUUGAAACUGUAUCUCUUGAGUGCUGGAGAGGGAGACGGAAUUCCUUGUGCAGCGGUGAAAUGCGUAGAUAUAAGGAAGAACACCAGUGGCGAAGGCGGUCUACUGGACAGUAACUGACGCUGAGGCGCGAAAGCGUGGGGAGCAAACAGGAUUAGAUACCCUGGUAGUCCACGCUGUAAACGGUGAAUACUAGGUGUGGGGGGACUGACCCCCUCCGUGCCGCAGUUAACACAAUAAGUAUUCCACCUGGGGAGUACGGCCGCAAGGUUGAAACUCAAAUGAAUUGACGGGG
This 396-nucleotide ribosomal RNA is filed under the name uncultured bacterium. RNAcentral describes it as "partial 16S ribosomal RNA". It matches the Rfam family "Bacterial small subunit ribosomal RNA", at positions 523 to 918 of the family's 1533-position model. The record is from RNAcentral.